Long non-coding RNA from Vespa mandarinia (Asian giant hornet), 4107 nucleotides. Lineage: Eukaryota; Metazoa; Arthropoda; Insecta; Hymenoptera; Vespidae. The record is from RefSeq and is a predicted model, not a curated record.
AUUCACCUCCGGUACGGUUAAUUGUACCCGAAGCGGUGUACUUUGAUCCGCAGAGGCCAUGCAUCGGACCACGGAUGCAUCGUGAUUGCGUGGAGAGAUAGUAUUUUCCUGGGAUAUACGGUUAUCAAAGAGUAGAGAGUAUGAUUUCUCUUUGCCUCGAGACAGAAACCGUAACUACAUAUGGGCUUAAUACACGGCAGAUGGCUGAGACAAAGUAAAUUGUCCCGGCACGUUAUUAGUGCAAGAUUGAUGCGCGUAUCGAGUCUUCCUUAAUAGAAUUAACCGUGGUGCAUAUGUUCCGUUAGGGAAUUCUGUGGUUCCACAUUGUCAUUUGAUAUAAUCUGAGAAAGAACAAUGACCAUAUUACGUUGCCAGUUUUAUCAUAUUUUUACAUAUCUAUAUGAAAGUGUUAUUGAUUAUAUAUAAACAAAUGUACGCUUCUUUGUAUAUUACGUAUUUCUUAAAAGUGUGAACCGACAAAAGAGAAUAAUAGUUUCAGGUGCUUAUUUCGAUGUGUCAGAACUUAAGAGAAUUAAUGACUCGUCGUUGUUCAUCUUUGACGACAGCUCAGCUUGCAGUUAAACAUGGCCAGGUGGUCAGUUUCUACAUGGUUUCUUUAACUCGAGGAAGACGUCGUACUGAUCUGUUCAACGAUUCCCAAGAUACAAGCUAGAAUCUUCUUAGAUGGAAAAGAAUAUCAAGUGGCAUGCAAAUCGCGUAAGACCGUAACAAGGAUACAUAAUGCUACGGGCGUAUAGAAUUCUUUUUCGUAUUCGUACUCGUUGCUCGUUACGAGAUAGAAGAAGAGGCGCCAAGCAGUAAUGUCGUAGAAAGAACGAUUAUGACACCGAUGACGACGACGACGACGACGACGACGACGACGACGACGACGAUGGCGGCUAUGUGACUCCCUGCUUUUCGUCUCAGAAAUUUAUUGCUCCGAGUUGUUGCGAUGCGCGCAAGUAGCACCUACAGGAGAGCAGAAAGAUUAUGGAAGAAAUAUUCGAUGAACAAAAGGAUAAAGAAAUAUUUGAUCAUCGUUUGACGCUUUUAAACUCUACCAUGAUGCGAUUAGGAGGGGAAGAACGCAUUGGUUAAAAAGAACGAAAGGCUCGAUAGUCAAAAAUUCGUUUUGAGACAGCGAGCUUAUCUCACCGAUCAGGGUCCGCCACGAAUUAUAAGAGAGGAACCUGCCGGCGCAGGAUCUCCGUUGGACCACACAUCGAACCUCUUGUCUGCAGGUUCAACGCACUCGCUGUAAUUACCACAAACGAACGCGAAGCUUCGUCGAGACACACAAGGUAUAUAAACUCGCGAGCAUGGACACGUCCGUGAAGUCACGUUGGCAUCGACGAAGUCUCCUCUCACAAUCAACGGUCUGCCAAUAACGAUACCGAGCACCAAUCCCGGCGAAUAACGAUCGAUUCGUUCGUCUUUCAAAAUACGAUAUGGAAAGAGAAAGAUAGAAAUAUCAAUGGGCAAAGAAUAGAAAAAAGAAUUUAUUAUUACGAUUUGAAUUCCGUGACAAAUUCUUUUUUUCCCGUCGCCCCACUCUCCGCCUAACCUAGCAUUUUCUCGAUCUUUUUCGAUAUCGUAUGAUAGGUUCGAUGGUAAUGAUUUCGAAGUGGCAACUUUAUAUCCACGAUCACGACGACAAAAGAAACGCACGCUCGUUUAAUGAGAGAACUCAAAGAGAACUUGUCUCCAGCUUGACGAUACUUCGAGCGGCAACAUCAUCGACCUCCUGGCCACCUUUACGUCCUUCGACGAGUGUGAACGCGCAGGCACCUACGAGAUGAUUCAUGCUCAUGCCUAUCCACGUGGAAAACGAGGAGAGACGGUGGAGCUGUCGAUCAAUGGCCACAACCACAUCCGGACUUAUUGCCGUUUCUAUUCGCUAUUGAAAUCUCUUCUUCUUAUUGAGAAUAACAACAACAAUAACGACAAGAGUAAAAGUGUUCUUUAUACGACGAGAGCUCGUUUUUCUCAAUCGAGGAUGUAUUUAGAAAAAAAAAAGAGAAAACAACAACGACAACAACAAAGCAAGAACAACUUAACAAACUUGAUAAAACAAAAUCGAACUCGUUAAAAUGAAAAAGAUUAAAAAUGGAAAGUAUCGGUAAUUGUAAAAGAGUUUAUUGAUUAAUUUUGAUAAAUGUCUGUAAGGAUAAGAGAGACAUUGGAGGAUGACGUAUAUUGUGCGUCAGGACAGUCAGGGGCGGCCUCGUCUCGUCAAGGGCCCACCGUGCUGCCCGAUCGAGGAGGUAACGACCCGCAGGGUCAAACUCGAUCGGCAGAGAAGGGACGAGGAGAAUGGGUGGGAGAAGAAGCUGUGCAAACUGAGAAAAGGUCCACGCGAACAUACAUACGUAUCGACGUUGAAAAAAGUCGCGAGGGAAACGCGUUGUACGAUCCUCGAUAGUAAGAGACUGCGAGUAGAGUUGAUGGUAGUGGUCGAUGGAGAAGGUGAUGGAGAAGGACCAAGGAGCUUGGUAAAGAAGAGAGGAAAAGAAAGAGAUCUUGCUUCGAGAUGCGAUCGUCGCUCGCGAACGAUCGUCGUCUCCUUCUCGCUGCCUCUGGAUCGUUUCUGCAGAUGGUCGACGUUCCUCGAACUUUUUUACAUUCUUUCCAAUAACCAGAGGACAAUAACAACAGGACGUGGCAAUGCUUGACUUACAAUGACCGAAAAAGUCGUAUCUGGAGUUCCAUUGAGGGAUCGAUUCGACACAAUUCGAUUCGUGCUCGAAAAAUAGGAAAUAGAAGUUAGAAUGGCGGCCAAAGGGAAUACGAGACUUCGAUAAUUCGUCAAAUAAAAUCCGCGACUCCUCGGAGACAUUGCAACAGUGAGAGAACGAAGGAGACAGUAUAUUCAACUUCUGUGAACCAUAAAGGUUUCCGUGUCCUCCCGAGGUUAGUCCAGUUAAAAUGACCGGUUGGUAGAGCGUUGAUAUAUCGUCGAGGAAGCUGACAUAACACACAGCCCUUUUAAAAGGGAACGGCCUUCUGUUUUUGAGAACGUGUCCCACACAGAGAUCGGCAUCUACUUCUCCGGUUUAUCCGAAGCGUGUUGGUUCUCGUCUUACGUUUAGCGCCGGGGGAGUAGAAAGUCUCGUGCUAAGAGUAGUCCUACGAAAGGAAGAAGUAGAUGACGAUGAUGAUGAUGAAGAAGAAAAAGAAGAAAAAGAGGAAGAAGAAGAAAAGAAAGAAAAAGCAAAAGAAGUACGAAAAGGGGUUUCGGAAAUAAGAAGAAGAAAAAGAAGAAGAAGGAACCGACGCGACUCAUGAGAGAAGAAGAAGAAGAAGAAGAAGAAAAGAAAGAACAUCGAGGAACAACGUAAGUGCUCGCGUUCUCGUAUUACGAAGUGCCUUGGCUUACCCUACCAGAGCCCUGUCUAGAUGAUCCCACAACACAUCGUUCGUAUUAAACACGUGUGCGAAAUCACGCAUUAGCGUGAGCAAUAUCGAAAUUCGUGAAAGGGUGCGAUAUUCGGUCGCGUGGGCCCACGCGCCCGCAUUGGCGUAAACGCUAACGAAUAUUUCUAUCGGCGUUAAACGAAAUAAAUCAUCACGUAAAUAUUUCGUAAUACAAUUGUAGUUAAAUCGUUAACGAAUUAACGAACAUAAAAUAGUAUAGUGUAUUUCGUCGAUCGAGUUUAAACACGAUAUACGCGUUUCAUUGAACUUCCUACGAUAUUAUCGUAGGAAAAUACGUAUUAUAUGAAAUAAUACGUUUGAAAUAAAUCCUCGGGAUUUACAUAAGUUCGAUCCCACUGGAUGAGUAUCCGACCGUGGAAUGAGUGAGAUCAAGAGGGGAAGAAGAAGAAGAAAAAAAAAAAAAAGAAAGGAAUUGGAGAGAAUUAAAAGCCGAGCACGGUGUAUAUCAUAGCAGUCGGGGAUUUUUAAAUCGUUCCCGGUUUAUGCUGACAAUGACGCGGUGAUUGCGACAGAUGCGUGGGUCGUUUAUGUCCCUUUAAAAAAGGAAAAAAGAAGAAGAAAAAAAAAAGAAAAAAGGGUAGGGGGACGGACGUUUUCGCACCCCCUUUAGCAGGCUCUAAGCAGCUCGUUCCACGCCCUCCUUUUAACUCGGCUCCGGGGUCCUUCCCUCCU